RNAcentral lists this ribosomal RNA (251 nucleotides) under uncultured bacterium. RNAcentral describes it as "partial 16S ribosomal RNA". It matches the Rfam family "Bacterial small subunit ribosomal RNA", at positions 524 to 776 of the family's 1533-position model. The record is from RNAcentral.
UACGGAGGGUGCAAGCGUUAAUCGGAAUUACUGGGCGUAAAGCGUGCGUAGACGGUUAUGUAAGUCAGGUGUGAAAGCCCCGGGCUCAACCUGGGAAUUGCAUUUGAGACUGCAUAGCUAGGGUGCGGAAGAGGGAAGCGGAAUUUCCGGUGUAGCGGUGAAAUGCGUAGAUAUCGGAAGGAACACCAGUGGCGAAAGCGGCUUCCUGGUCCAGCACCGAGUCAGGCACGAAAGCGUGGGGAGCAAACAGG